CCUAUUCCCACUCUACCAACCUCACUUUGCCAUCCCUACCUCCCUUUUACUAUCAUUUUUUCUCUUUUUCAUUUAUCUUCUCAUCCAUUUUCUCUCCAUUUAGCAAAAUAAUCACCACCCUUUUUUUUUAAACUUUGCUCAUUUCCUCCACUGUGACCAAACCCUCCACCAUUGUUCACCGCACCUCAUGGCUGCUACACCUUCUCUUCUCAUCCUUUUCUCCUCACAUCGCUGCCAUGAUCACCGCUGCGCGCCACUGCGGGUCUCAUUUAUCCCCUUUGUUAUACCGAAACCCCAUAGCCUUUCUCUAUCGGACCACCACUCCACCAUCGCUGGACUGUCACUGCUACCAUCGUCGAUCACUUGAUUCAUCGACUUCAUUCCUUUCUCGACUCAUCGACCAUUCCAUAUUGAAUCACGUUAUAUAAUCGAAGUUAGGACGGGCUCAGCUUAUGGAGGUGCUCUUAGUCAUUUUCAUAAAAAUAUAUUAUUCUGGUACUCGACAUUUUAGGGAUGUGUUUUUGUUAUUGUGGAGUUUUGCUUGGGAUUUUCUUUUGGACUUUGGAUUUUGGAUUUUUCUGUGUGAUUUAGGUUUUAAAAUUAUCAUUUCAAAGAUUGCGUAAUUGAUAAUUUAUGAUGGAUUUUUCAUAA
This is a long non-coding RNA of Gossypium arboreum, 651 nucleotides long. RefSeq lists it as uncharacterized. The transcript is spliced from 3 exons. Lineage: Eukaryota; Viridiplantae; Streptophyta; Magnoliopsida; Malvales; Malvaceae. The record is from RefSeq and is a predicted model, not a curated record.